GGAUUAAGAGCUUGCUCUUAUGAAGUUAGCGGCGGACGGGUGAGUAACACGUGGGUAACCUGCCCAUAAGACUGGGAUAACUCCGGGAAACCGGGGCUAAUACCGGAUAACAUUUUGAACCGCAUGGUUCGAAAUUGAAAGGCGGCUUCGGCUGUCACUUAUGGAUGGACCCGCGUCGCAUUAGCUAGUUGGUGAGGUAACGGCUCACCAAGGCAACGAUGCGUAGCCGACCUGAGAGGGUGAUCGGCCACACUGGGACUGAGACACGGCCCAGACUCCUACGGGAGGCAGCAGUAGGGAAUCUUCCGCAAUGGACGAAAGUCUGACGGAGCAACGCCGCGUGAGUGAUGAAGGCUUUCGGGUCGUAAAACUCUGUUGUUAGGGAAGAACAAGUGCUAGUUGAAUAAGCUGGCACCUUGACGGUACCUAACCAGAAAGCCACGGCUAACUACGUGCCAGCA
RNAcentral lists this ribosomal RNA (461 nucleotides) under Bacillus cereus. Its description in RNAcentral is "bacterial SSU rRNA". It matches the Rfam family "Bacterial small subunit ribosomal RNA", at positions 69 to 513 of the family's 1533-position model. The record is from RNAcentral. Lineage: Bacteria; Bacillati; Bacillota; Bacilli; Caryophanales; Bacillaceae.